RNAcentral lists this ribosomal RNA (253 nucleotides) under uncultured bacterium. RNAcentral describes it as "partial 16S ribosomal RNA". It matches the Rfam family "Bacterial small subunit ribosomal RNA", at positions 524 to 776 of the family's 1533-position model. The record is from RNAcentral.
UACGGGGGGGGCAAGCGUUGUUCGGAAUUACUGGGCGUAAAGGGCUCGUAGGUGGCCAACUAAGUCAGACGUGAAAUCCCUCGGCUUAACCGAGGAACUGCCUGUCAGACUGGAAGGCUUGAGACCGGGAGAGGUGAGUGGAAUUCCCAGUGUAGCGGUGAAAUGCGUAGAUAUUGGGAGGAACACCAGUGGCGAAGGCGGCUCACUGGACCGGAACUGACGCUGAGGCGCGAAAGCGUGGGGAGCAAACAGG